GGGCUUAUAGCUCAACUUGGUAGAGCAUCGCUUUUGCAAGGCGCAGGUUGCAGGUUCAAGUCCUGCUGGGUCCA
This 74-nucleotide transfer RNA is filed under the name Candidatus Competibacteraceae bacterium. RNAcentral's name for it is "tRNA-Ala". It matches the Rfam family "tRNA". Rfam says of the family: Transfer RNA (tRNA) molecules are approximately 80 nucleotides in length. The record is from RNAcentral. Lineage: Bacteria; Pseudomonadati; Pseudomonadota; Gammaproteobacteria; Candidatus Competibacteraceae.